RNAcentral lists this unclassified non-coding RNA (294 nucleotides) under uncultured Sphingobacteriaceae bacterium. RNAcentral describes it as "contains 16S-23S intergenic spacer region". The record is from RNAcentral. Lineage: Bacteria; Pseudomonadati; Bacteroidota; Sphingobacteriia; Sphingobacteriales; Sphingobacteriaceae.
GUGGACUACAGGGGUAUCUAAUCCUGUUUGAUCCCCACGCUUUCGUGCCUCAGCGUCAUUAACACCUUAGUAAGCUGCCUUCGCAAUUGGUGUUCUGUGACAUAUCUAUGCAUUUCACCGCUACUUGUCACAUUCCGCCUACCUCAAGUGUAAUCAAGCCUGUCAGUAUCAAGGGCAAGCUUCCGGUUGAGCCGAAAGAUUUCACCACUGACUUAACAGGCCGCCUACGCACCCUUUAAACCCAAUAAAUCCGGAUAACGCUUGGAUCCUCCGUAUUACCGCGGCUGCUGGCAC